RNAcentral lists this ribosomal RNA (249 nucleotides) under uncultured bacterium. RNAcentral's name for it is "partial 16S ribosomal RNA". It matches the Rfam family "Bacterial small subunit ribosomal RNA", at positions 524 to 772 of the family's 1533-position model. The record is from RNAcentral.
UACGAAGGGGGCUAGCGUUGCUCGGAAUCACUGGGCGUAAAGGGUGCGUAGGCGGGUCUUUAAGUCAGGGGUGAAAUCCUGGAGCUCAACUCCAGAACUGCCUUUGAUACUGAAGAUCUUGAGUCCGGGAGAGGUGAGUGGAACUGCGAGUGUAGAGGUGAAAUUCGUAGAUAUUCGCAAGAACACCAGUGGCGAAGGCGGCUCACUGGCCCGGUACUGACGCUGGGGCACGAAAGCGUGGGGAGCCAA